AGCAGCCGCGGUAAUUCCAGCUCCAAUAGCGUAUAUUAAAGUUGUUGCAGUUAAAAGCUCGUAGUUGAAUUUCGGGAUCAAGUCGUCGGUCGUGCUCAGGUACGUACUGGCGUCAUUGAUUUCUCCCUUCUGACGAACCAUGAUGUCAUUAAUUUGGUGUCAUGGGAAAUCAGGACUGUUACUUUGAAAAAUUAGAGUGUUUAAAGCAGGCUCACGCUUGAAUACAUUAGCAUGGAAUAAUGAAAUAGGACGUUCGAUCCUAUUUUUGUUGGUUUCUAGGAUUGACGUAAUGAUUAAUAGGGAUAGUUGGGGCAUUAGUAUUCAA
RNAcentral lists this ribosomal RNA (325 nucleotides) under uncultured Glomus. Its description in RNAcentral is "SSU rRNA". It matches the Rfam family "Eukaryotic small subunit ribosomal RNA", at positions 569 to 901 of the family's 1831-position model. The record is from RNAcentral. Lineage: Eukaryota; Fungi; Glomeromycota; Glomeromycetes; Glomerales; Glomeraceae.